CAGUAGCCGCGGUAAUACGUAGGGUGCGAGCGUUAAUCGGAAUUACUGGGCGUAAAGCGUGCGCAGGCGGUUGUGUAAGACAGGUGUGAAAUCCCCGGGCUUAACCUGGGAACUGCGCUUGUGACUGCACAGCUAGAGUAUGGCAGAGGGGGGUGGAAUUCCACGUGUAGCAGUGAAAUGCGUAGAGAUGUGGAGGAACACCGAUGGCGAAGGCAGCCCCCUGGGCCAAUACUGACGCUCAUGCACGAAAGCGUGGGGAGCGAACAGGAUUAGAUACCCCGGUAGUCCCUGUCUCUUAUAC
This 301-nucleotide ribosomal RNA is filed under the name uncultured bacterium. RNAcentral describes it as "partial 16S ribosomal RNA". It matches the Rfam family "Bacterial small subunit ribosomal RNA", at positions 509 to 807 of the family's 1533-position model. The record is from RNAcentral.